AUGGUCUGGGUAGAUCCAGAUGAAUGUAUUUUAGCGCUUGACGAAACAAGGAAAAUACCCAUUACAGACCAAGAAAUAAAUGAUGCAUUUGGUUUGCCACAAGGAAGCAGGACUAUUCCACCAGGUCACUCAGACUUAUCUGAAGUUUGUAUAGUGUUUAGCAGGUUGGCUUCAACCAUUAGUACCAAAAGCGUAUAUAGUUUGAAGGCCGCUCAAUUUAUCUUAUCUAAGACAAUAGAUGAGAAUUCAAGGAAAGUAGAGUGUGAAUGCUUCAAGAUAGCAUUUGUAAUCUUCUCAGUCGGCCAUGUCCUGAACCCAUGCGCUAAGCACGAUUACACUAGCGUCGAUUACUGGGCAGCACUGGUGGUGCCGUCGGAGAUAAAUUCCUACAACUGGUGUAGGCUUGUCAAAGACAGUUUGAUGAAAGGUGUGAGAAAAAACAAGACCGACGUUGACAAUGGGAACACAACAAUCGACAUAGUUGGAUGUCACCUUCUUCUCCAGGUUAUUGCUUUGGACAAGAUUGAAACAUCUAGCAAGCACAUCGAGCAGAAUAUACUACCAUGUGUGAAAGAUUUCGAUCACGAGUCAGUUAAGAAGGCAAUAGACUCGAUUACAUCCCAUCAAGUUACCACACAGGAGAUUGCUGAUCCUUCUUCUUCAAAGCGCACGGCUCGUGCUGCAAACAAGUUUAAGCCACGCAGCAUGAUGGGACCUGUUGAGUUUGCCAACAUAAUGCGCCGGAAAUACCCAAAUAUGUUCCGGAACAAAACAACAUCCGCCAAAACCUUGCACAGAUCGCGCCCGCGGAAACUUCGGACACCGAAGGAAGCUCAACUGGACAUGUCCAUCAAGCUCAUAAGAGAGAAUAUGUACACAUCAGCGACAAUAAUCACGACAACACAAACAUCGGUCAGAACAAGAAGCAACAUAGCAAUGAACAAGCCAGUUCCGUUCAGCACGUCAACCAAGCCCAUCUAUCAUUCUCACCAAGCCCAUCAGCAUUGCCCCCAGAUUCGUCUGCUGACCUCAUGA
This 1035-nucleotide ribosomal RNA is filed under the name Triticum aestivum (bread wheat). RNAcentral's name for it is "partial small subunit ribosomal RNA". Lineage: Eukaryota; Viridiplantae; Streptophyta; Magnoliopsida; Poales; Poaceae. The record is from RNAcentral.